RNAcentral lists this ribosomal RNA (490 nucleotides) under uncultured bacterium. RNAcentral's name for it is "partial 16S ribosomal RNA". It matches the Rfam family "Bacterial small subunit ribosomal RNA", at positions 30 to 507 of the family's 1533-position model. The record is from RNAcentral.
AUUGAACGCUGGCGGCAGGCCUAACACAUGCAAGUCGAACGGUAACAGAAAGCAGCUUGCUGCUUUGCUGACGAGUGGCGGACGGGUGAGUAAUGUCUGGGAAACUGCCUGAUGGAGGGGGAUAACUACUGGAAACGGUAGCUAAUACCGCAUAACGUCGCAAGACCAAAGAGGGGGACCUUCGGGCCUCUUGCCAUCGGAUGUGCCCAGAUGGGAUUAGCUAGUAGGUGGGGUAACGGCUCACCUAGGCGACGAUCCCUAGCUGGUCUGAGAGGAUGACCAGCCACACUGGAACUGAGCCACGGUCCAGACUCCUACGGGAGGCAGCAGUGGGGAAUAUUGCACAAUGGGCGCAAGCCUGAUGCAGCCAUGCCGCGUGUAUGAAGAAGGCCUUCGGGUUGUAAAGUACUUUCAGCGGGGAGGAAGGGAGUAAAGUUAAUACCUUUGCUCAUUGACGUUACCCGCAGAAGAAGCACCGGCUAACUCCGUG